Molecule: ribosomal RNA, 378 nt
Filed under: uncultured bacterium
Lineage: Bacteria
Description: partial 16S ribosomal RNA
Rfam family: Bacterial small subunit ribosomal RNA
Source: RNAcentral
CCUACGGGCGGCAGCAGUGGGGAAUAUUGCACAAUGGGGGAAACGCUGAUGCAGCAACGCCGCGUGGGUGAAGGAGCGUUUCGGCGCGUAAAGCCCUGUCAGCGGGGAAGAAGAAAGACGGUACCCGACCAAGAAGCCCCGGCUAACUACGUGCCAGCAGGCGCGGUAAUACGUAGGGGGCGAGCGUUAUCCGGAAUUACUGGGGGUAAAGGGAGCGUAUACGGCGAGGUAAGCCUGAGGUGGAAGCCCGCGGCCCAAACGCGGGCCUGCUUUGGGAACUGGUUUGCUUGAGUAUGGGAGGGGUAUGCGGAAUUCGUGGUGUAGCGGUGAAAUGCGUAGAUAUCGGGAGGAACACCGGUGGCGAAGGCGGCUUACUGG